RNAcentral lists this transfer RNA (85 nucleotides) under Ruminococcus sp. RNAcentral's name for it is "tRNA-Leu". It matches the Rfam family "tRNA". Rfam says of the family: Transfer RNA (tRNA) molecules are approximately 80 nucleotides in length. Lineage: Bacteria; Bacillati; Bacillota; Clostridia; Eubacteriales; Oscillospiraceae. The record is from RNAcentral.
GCGGGUGUGGUGAAAUUGGCAGACACGGUAGUUUUAGGUGCUACUUCCGAAAGGAAUGCAGGUUCAAGUCCUGUCACCCGCACCA